This is a long non-coding RNA of Impatiens glandulifera, 1083 nucleotides long. RefSeq lists it as uncharacterized. Lineage: Eukaryota; Viridiplantae; Streptophyta; Magnoliopsida; Ericales; Balsaminaceae. The transcript has 8 exons. The record is from RefSeq and is a predicted model, not a curated record.
UUUCCCAUAUGGAAAGGAAAGAAGAGAGAAUUCAGAGUAGUAGUAAUGGAAUUCGAAUAUAUCAACGAUUAGUUAGCCACAAUGAUAUGUCUUCCAUCGCAGACCUAAACAAGUUCGAGGCCGAUACAAGAGGAGAAUUCGGUAUUGGAUCUGCCGCACAAUACAGUUCUACGGAUCUCAAGUGAUAAUACAUUUCUUGUGCCGAUUUUAUUUGCAUCUUAUCUCUUGUUGCAGAAAAGCAUUCCAUGUAAAUGAAAAUUUCAAGUGAGGUCCUCAUUCGCCUGUUUGUUAGAAUCUGAAUGUAUAUGAUACAGAAGAGCCAAUUUCACAUCUGCGGACAGGAGAGAAUCUGAUUUCAGGAAAGAUUCAAUGAAAUUUCCAAAAUCUCCUCCUCUGUAUCAUUGGUAUCAUCUAUGCAAUUGAUUUGUCCUUCAUAUGCUUCUAGCCAGCGAGGAUUCAUGAUUUCUUCUAUUUCAACUUAGUUUUUCAAGUUGUAUGUGAAUCCAUUCUCUAGGGAACAAUCUGUGACAUCAAUGCAAAAACUUCUCUCGUCAAAGAAUCUAAAAAUGACUCGAUGAGAUGGCCAGUGAGAUAAGCAGCCUACAAACUAUUGCAUCUAAGUUGAAGGGAGAAUCCUUACAGGCAGUGAACAUAUUAUGCACUUGAAAGAAGAGGUUCGAUUUCUUUGGGCUACUAUGAGAAGAAGCAACUUUAAUGUUAACAUUCUGGAGUCUAAAGCAAAAGAUAACAAGGAAAAUCUAAACAUUGUUGUUUCCCAAGUUCAGAAGAUGGAACAGUGGAUUCAAAUUCAGUAACUUGAACAAACUCUUGCUAUUGUGAAAGUUCAAUUCAGAUCAGGACACUACAUGUUUAGAGAGGAGAAGGCAACUUAUUCUCAAGAUUCACAAAAUUAAAAAACCAGAACCAUUGUUUAAAGAAUUGGUUGUUUCGAGUUUUGUUCUUUCGUCGUUGAUGUGUUUGAAGAUCGAAGCUUUGUUGAGACGUUUUGAUAUAUUCGUUGCUUAAAAAAUUAAUUUAUUUAUUGAUUGUGUUAGUAUAAUUAACCGUAAUUUCAGGAAUAUC